RNAcentral lists this long non-coding RNA (4049 nucleotides) under Sus scrofa (pig). RNAcentral's name for it is "lncRNA (ENSSSCG00065056359.1)". Lineage: Eukaryota; Metazoa; Chordata; Mammalia; Artiodactyla; Suidae. The record is from RNAcentral.
GGAGCCAGGCAGGGUGCAGGGAAGAGGUGGAGACGAGUGGCCCGCGGGGCCAUUUCAGGCGCCUAAUGAAGCACCAGUCUAAUCUAAGCAAUGUUGUUGUUGUUGUUUUCUCUCUUUUCUGAAAGCCGUUUCCAACCUGGGCCUCGGAGAGGAAGGAGUCAAGAUGCCAGGAAGAGAAUCUGAGUGGUCUCAUCCAUGGCCUCCCACGCUGCCCCCUCAAAGGCUUCUGUGCUGCAAGAGCAUCACUGAGAGCUAGAUGGUGCUUGGCUGACCAUGUGGUCUGACUGUCCCCUCCUGCAUGAGGUGUUGAGAACUGGAAGAAAAAAGGAACAGGUGAAGUGCCAAAGUGAAAUAGAGCCCGUGAGCUGGCGAUGGGACUCGCAGGACCUGGAACUGGGCCAAGGAGGCUGGACUUCUGAGCAGAGAGGUUGCCCAGCUGGAGCUGGCACUUAGGGAGCCUGGGGAAGGCUUCGCUGCGCUGGAACCAGACCUCUAAGGAAGGGUGCUGAUGGGCAGACAGCUUUCGGAACCUCAGGAUCUCAAAGGCUCACAGAACUGGGGCCCAGAUGUCUGAGGAGAAGGAGGUGCGAAACUGGCGGGUGCUAGUGUUUCUGAAAAGCAUGAUGCCGCUGGUCCGACAAUGAGGGACAUAUCUGGAACCCGCAGCUGUGCCACAGGGAAGGGUCGUUACUGGAGGUAAAGUGACAGACAGAACAGAGGAAGCAGAAGCUCGCCUUCAUCCUGCCUCCCCCUUCCCUCUAGCAGCCCUGUUGGCAUAAACUCACAGAACGCGGCCUGCCAAGAGGUGCAGGGUGCAGUUCAUCUCCAGCCUCACCAGAGGGGCGAUUCGGAGGGAAGCACUGCAGCAGAGCACCCGCACAAAGCCACUGUGCUGGACACACACCUGCAGUUCCACACAGCACGACAGCUGGAUCAUUUGGCCUAAUAAGAGGAAAGUCUCCUUUUUCAAAUGAAGACCUCUUGCCCUCUCUCCAAAAAAAAGUGGGAGACAUAAAACAAAACAGGAUUCUGUGAAAUCUGCAUCCUUUGAAGAAUUACGUUAAAAGAAGUCCCGAGGUGUUGGUAGCCGCCCCACAGCGGGCAGGAGGAAUCAGUCCGGGAUCCAGGAACUCUGAGGCCUCUCUUAACUACUCUGUCACACGGUGAAAGUUAAUGGAAAAUGACGGCCACCACAGCAAGUCAGGGCCUCAGAGGAUUCAGGAAAGAAUCAAAUGAACCUUCAAGAAUGAAAGUUCUGAUUAUUCUAAUAGUUAAAGAAAGCAGCUAGCUAAGAUUCCAGGAGAGGGCAAAGGGCUCCUGGAGCGGGACAUGGGAGAAGGAAGUUAGUCCUCGGUUACGGAAACUAGGACUGUGGCAGCUACUGUGAAUCAAACACAUAUGCAUAUGCAUGUGAUUGUGCGGGUUUCAUUUCUUUUNUUUUUUAAUCUUUUUAGGGCUGCACCUGUGACACAUGGAAGUUCCCAGACUAGGAGGCGAAUUGGAGCUGUAGCCGUUGGCCUACACCACAGCCACAGAAACACUAGAUCUGAGCCACAUCUGCAACCUACACCAAAGCUCACAGCAACGCCAGAUCCUUUAACCCACUGAGCAAGGCCAGGAUUCGAACCUGCAUCCUCAUGGAUGCUAGUUGGGUUCGUGUAUACAUGUGUAUACAGGUGCCCAUCUAUCAUCUAUUGACCUGUCAUCUAUAUACUAAUAUUUUCCUCUCUUCUUAUUCCUCAUUAAUUUACAUAAGGGCUGCGGGUGGUAGGUAACUUUAUGAUUUAGUCUUUAAGUUACAGAAUAUUCAGGUGGGAUAUUGACUGAAUUUGGGGAAUAAUUAACACUGUCUCAAUGAUACAUACACUGAAUAUUAUUACAAUGAACCAAACUGAUAAAACUGUUUUUUGUUUUUUGGUUUUUUUGGUCUUUUUGCUAUUUUUUUGGGCUGCUCCCAUGGCAUAUGGAGGUUCCCAGGCUGCCUGGGAACCUCCAUAUGCCGCGGGAGCGGCCCAAGAAAUAGCAACAACAACAACAACAACAAGACAAAAAGACAAAAAAGACAAAAAAAAAAAAAAAAGAAAUGAAUAGAACAUAUAAGUUUAAAAACUGAGUAGAGGAUAGGGUUAUGAAUGAUCUGGAUUAUUUUAAUUUGCUUUCUGUGCAUUUAUCAUAUAUUGUACAAGAAAAAAUAUUAACAUUAAUUUUACUCAGGGAAAAUGGUAAUUUUAAAUCCCCAUUAUUUAUUUAGCUGGUAAGCUCAUUUGCAGGAAUUUUCAGUAACAGAUAUUUAGGACACUAUUGUUUAUAGUAAUGAAACUUCAUGAGUAAGCUGUCAAAAACAAGAUUAAUUAAACCACUCCAGGAGUUCCCGUCAUGGCGCAGUGGUUAACGAAUCCGACUAGGAACCAUGAGGUUGCGGGUUCGGUCCCUGGCCUUGCUCAGUGGGUUAACGAUCCGGCGUUGCCGUGAGCUGUGGUGUAGGUUGCAGACGCGGCUCGGAUCCCGCGUUGCUGUGGCUCUGGCGUAGGCCGGGAGCUACAGCUCCGAUUGGACCCCUAGCCUGGGAACCUCCAUAUGCUGAGGGAGCGGCCCAAGAAAUAGCAAAAAGACAAAAACAACAACAACAACAACAAAAAAAAAACCACUCCAUUCCAUGAUGGAAUAUCAUGGAGAUAUUAAAUAAUCACAUUUUUGAAGAAUAUUUAAGGACUUGGAAAAGAAUUCAGAAUAUGUUACUAAAAAUUAAUAUUUUCAACUACAUAUACCCUCUGUUUCCAGUUUUGUAAAAAUAAAUUGUGAAGAUAAACACAUUUUUCCACCCACAUCUCAUUCCUCACAUAUAACAGGGAGACACCAAAAAUAUUAAAAGUUGCUCUAUCUAAAUAGUGAAAUUAGGGUUAUGUUAAUUUAUUCUUUUUGUUAUGUUUCCCAAUUUACCAUGAGAAAGACGUUUGUUUUUUCUUCCAGGGACAAUAGGUUUGUGCUUCUAAUGUAGAAGCAAACCAUUUAAUUCUAUUUUUAUAUAGUUAUCAAAAGUUAGAAUGGAUAUAGAAGUACAUUUUCAUUUUCUUGGUGCUUACCAGUGACAUAGGGAUUUCAGUUUCCUUAUGUAAUUACAAAAGUGCCGGCUUUCUCCUUUGCCAAUAAUUUUAUACUUAGAAUUUGGGUGUGAGUAAAUACAACAUGGGGGAGAAUGUUAAAAUUUCUGGUUCAUCACAGAAUUAGCUGAAAAAGAAAAGAUGUGUAUAUUUUAGUUAUUCAGGAUAAAGUUUUAUGUAGUAAUUUUUAAUUCUCCAAGAAACAUAAGUCAAUAAUGUUACCUGGAAGUCAAUCAGUAUAACGAAUAUGCUCAGUUCAUGGUGAUAGUUGCAAAUAAAAAAGAGAAGCUCAUAUUUUUUUUAUCAGUAAUCAGUUAUUUUCCUCCUACACAGGACAUUUGCAAAAUUGUUUGUUACAUUAGUCUUUGGAAAGGCCAUAUUUCAUUGCUGUUUUUUGAACCCUCAUUGUUUCAGCUGCAUUAAUUCUUCUGGUUUCUCUCCACAUUUUAUUUGACAAAACCAGUCACUGAUUGCUCCCUCAAAAGCUGGAAGCACAUGAUAGGUAGACAUGCCUAUAACUUCAGCAGAGGACAAGAGAGCAAAAUUCUUGGGAGAUAAAAGUAGUUUUAUUUAGAGUGGUAAAACUGAAAUCUUAAAAAUCGGGAAAGUGUUUGGUGAUAUAGUUAUCUGAGAAAAUGAAACAAUAAUGACUUUUGUGAUUCUGACGGAUUAUCACAAAUUUCAAAGAGAAUCCCAGACCAACAUUCUAACAAAUAUUUGUGAUUAUUUGAGUUUCUGUCUGCAUUUUAGCUAAGCUAGAGUAUAUAAUGAUGUAAUAUCCUCUAGAUUGCUGUCACACUGAUGAUGCAAACUGGCAAAAGCUUUACCAGGCAAAGUUUACAAAUAGGCUCUGUCAGUAGUUUCUAAGUAGCAGGAGUCAUCUAAUCAAUCCCAGGGUUUAAAAUAAUAAUAACAUGAACUCUGUGGAAGUAAAAAUCAAUACUAUUA